CUGGGUUGGAUGAGUGGCGAACGGGUGAGUAACACGUGAGUAACCUGCCCUCUUCUUUGGGAUAACGGUCGGAAACGGCUGCUAGUACCGGGUAUUCACUGUCCUUCGCAUGGGGGGUGGUGGAAAGGUUUUUUCUGGUGGGGGAUGGGCUCGCGGCCUAUCAGCUUGUUGGUGGGGUGAUGGCUUACCAAGGCUUUGACGGGUAACCGGCCUGAGAGGGUGACCGGUCACAUUGGGACUGAGAUACGGCCCAG
Molecule: ribosomal RNA, 254 nt
Filed under: uncultured bacterium
Lineage: Bacteria
Description: partial 16S ribosomal RNA
Rfam family: Bacterial small subunit ribosomal RNA
Source: RNAcentral